This 500-nucleotide ribosomal RNA is filed under the name uncultured Bacteroidota bacterium. Its description in RNAcentral is "bacterial SSU rRNA". It matches the Rfam family "Bacterial small subunit ribosomal RNA", at positions 396 to 896 of the family's 1533-position model. Lineage: Bacteria; Pseudomonadati; Bacteroidota. The record is from RNAcentral.
GCCGCGUGAAGGAAGAAGGUUCUAUGGAUUGUAAACUUCUUUUAUUUGGGAAGAAACCUUUCUACGUGUAGAGAGCUGACGGUACCAAACGAAUAAGGACCGGCUAACUCCGUGCCAGCAGCCGCGGUAAUACGGAGGGUCCAAGCGUUAUCCGGAAUCAUUGGGUUUAAAGGGUGCGCAGGCGGUUUAUUAAGUCAGUGGUGAAAUCUCGAGGCUCAACCUCGAAACUGCCAUUGAUACUGAUAAACUUGAGUUCAGUUGGAGUAGGCGGAAUGUGUAGUGUAGCGGUGAAAUGCUUAGAUAUUACACAGAACACCGAUAGCGAAGGCAGCUUACUAAACUGAUACUGACGCUGAGGCACGAAAGCGUGGGGAGCGAACAGGAUUAGAUACCCUGGUAGUCCACGCCGUAAACUAUGAUUACUCGAUAUUGGCGAUAUACAGUCAGUGUCUAAGCGAAAGUGAUAAGUAAUCCACCUGGGGAGUACGGUCGCAAGAUUG